This 397-nucleotide ribosomal RNA is filed under the name uncultured bacterium. RNAcentral's name for it is "partial 16S ribosomal RNA". It matches the Rfam family "Bacterial small subunit ribosomal RNA", at positions 523 to 918 of the family's 1533-position model. The record is from RNAcentral.
AUACGUAGGUGGCAAGCGUUGUCCGGAAUUAUUGGGCGUAAAGCGCGCGCAGGUGGUUCCUUAAGUCUGAUGUGAAAGCCCCCGGCUCAACCGGGGAGGGUCAUUGGAAACUGGGGAACUUGAGUGCAGAAGAGGAUAGUGGAAUUCCAAGUGUAGCGGUGAAAUGCGUAGAGAUUUGGAGGAACACCAGUGGCGAAGGCGACUGUCUGGUCUGUAACUGACACUGAGGCGCGAAAGCGUGGGGAGCAAACAGGAUUAGAUACCCGGGUAGUCCACGCCGUAAACGAUGAGUGCUAAGUGUUGGGGGGUUUCCGCCCCUCAGUGCUGCAGCUAACGCGUUAAGCACUCCGCCUGGGGAGUACGGUCGCAAGACUGAAACUCAAAGGAAUUGACGGGG